UACGUAGGGUGCGAGCGUUGUCCGGAAUUACUGGGCGUAAAGGGCUCGUAGGCGGCCAACUAAGUCAGACGUGAAAUCCCUCGGCUUAACCGGGGAACUGCAUCUGAUACUGGAUGGCUUGAGAUUGGGAGAGGGAUGCGGAAUUCCAGGUGUAACGGUGAAAUGCGUAGAUAUCUGGAGGAACACCGGUGGCGAAGGCGGCAUCCUGGACCAACACUGACGCUGAGGAGCGAAAGCCAGGGGAGCAAACGGG
Molecule: ribosomal RNA, 253 nt
Filed under: uncultured bacterium
Lineage: Bacteria
Description: partial 16S ribosomal RNA
Rfam family: Bacterial small subunit ribosomal RNA
Source: RNAcentral